RNAcentral lists this unclassified non-coding RNA (214 nucleotides) under Glomeromycotina sp. RNAcentral describes it as "partial contains 5.8S ribosomal RNA and internal transcribed spacer 2". The stretch from base 1 to 71 matches the Rfam family "5.8S ribosomal RNA", at positions 84 to 154 of the family's 154-position model. The record is from RNAcentral. Lineage: Eukaryota; Fungi; Glomeromycota.
GUGAAUCAUCGAAUUUUUGAACGCAAAUUGCACUCUCUGGUAUUCCGGAGAGUAUGCCUGUUUGAGGGUCAGUUUAAUUAAAAACGGGGGUGGUUGUUGCUUUUCGUGGUGCGGGACGGGAUUUGGGCCGCUUUGCUUUGGGUAAAGUGAUUUAAAAUUUUGCAUGAUUUUUUUAGAACGUUAAUUAAUGAACUUACGUACGAUUGAGCUAUUG